RNAcentral lists this long non-coding RNA (362 nucleotides) under Homo sapiens (human). Its description in RNAcentral is "non-protein coding lnc-CUX1-1:1". Lineage: Eukaryota; Metazoa; Chordata; Mammalia; Primates; Hominidae. The record is from RNAcentral.
AGCGAGGGCAGAGGCCCCCACGGGUAGGGCAGCAGAGAUGGCCAGGAAUAGUUGGAUUGGGGUAUUUUUCGGAGCUGGAGUCUACACAGUUUGAUGUCAGAUUGGGUGGGGAAGGUGAGGGAGAGGGUGAUGAGGAAGAGGAGGAGGAGGAGGAGGAGGAGAGGCACAGAGUGUGGCCUGGAAGCCCCUUCCUCAGUCUGUUUGCACAGCUGUCCAGGCCUGGCUGGGCAGGGAGGGAGUGAGUCAUGGGUUUCCGGUUCACCAACCCCCACCUCCAGGGCAGGACAAGGUGCCUGCAGGUACAGAGUUUGGUGAUGAAGUCUCCCCUGGGGAAGCUCCUCCUCUCUCCCUCCUCCCCAGCC